GACGAACGCUGGCGGCGUGCUUAACACAUGCAAGUCGAACGGAAAGGCCCUGCUUUUGUGGGGUGCUCGAGUGGCGAACGGGUGAGUAACACGUGAGUAACCUGCCCUUGACUUUGGGAUAACUUCAGGAAACUGGGGCUAAUACCGGAUAGGAGCUCCUGCUGCAUGGUGGGGGUUGGAAAGUUUCGGCGGUUGGGGAUGGACUCGCGGCUUAUCAGCUUGUUGGUGGGGUAGUGGCUUACCAAGGCUUUGCCGGGUAGCCGGCCUGAGAGGGUGACCGGCCACGUUGGGACUGAGAUACGGCCCAGACUCCUCCGGGAGGCAGCAGUGGGGAAUAUUGCACAAUGGGCGGAAGCCUGAUGCAGCAACGCCGCGUGCGGGAUGACGGCCUUCGGGUUGUAAUCCGCUUUCGCCUGUGACGAAGCGUGAGUGACGGUAAUGGGUAAAGAAGCACCGGCUAACUACGUG
Molecule: ribosomal RNA, 468 nt
Filed under: uncultured bacterium
Lineage: Bacteria
Description: partial 16S ribosomal RNA
Rfam family: Bacterial small subunit ribosomal RNA
Source: RNAcentral